Molecule: long non-coding RNA, 1009 nt
Organism: Chenopodium quinoa (quinoa)
Lineage: Eukaryota; Viridiplantae; Streptophyta; Magnoliopsida; Caryophyllales; Amaranthaceae
Exons: 2
Source: RefSeq, a predicted model, not a curated record
AAAAAUAAUGCAAACCUAGGGGGAGAAUAAGGAGAUGUCAAAGAACGUAAUGGAGGGAAGAAAGAAGAUGGAGCAAUAACGAUGCUUCCAUUUUCUUAGGCUUUUAACACUUUGGGUGGCAAUUGCCAAAGAUGAGGUUGCCAAACUUUGUAAUGAUGAGUCUACCUGCCAUCAUUACCAUUCAAGAACCCAAAAGAUCACUCCAUUUCUCUCUCCAACCUAGCCCACCAUUUCACUACUUUGGUACAUACUUCUACUUCUCCUUCUAUUUAAAGGACCUCACCUUCCCCCUUCUUCUCCCCUCAAUCCACCGCCAUCAAGUUUUGCAUUAACUUCACCUCAUCACCAAUCAUUAUAGUAUCUUCCUCUCCCAUACACACUUGGUUGAUCCCUCUCGAGUCUCGACCUCUACUAAUUAGAGAAGCUCAAUUAAUAAUCACACAAUGUGUAGUGCAAAAGAUUGGCUUCAGUCUCCUCCGACUCCUUGCAAUGGCCAACGACCCUCAAGGAAAUCCAAAGUUCGAGUCCAUUGCCUCAUCGUAAGGAGAAGGUACGAAGGAACGAAGACGGAGGACAUGGAGCUAAAGAACCUGAAGCUGUACUUAGAGAACAGAAGUAUUUUAGAACAGAAUGAACAGCUAAGGCAAAAAGCUAUUCGCCUUCGACAAGAAAACCUAGCUCUCCUUUCUGAGUUUCAGAAGAGAUUCAAAUCCUCUUAGCUCAUGGCACCAAAAUGAUCAAGGACAUAGCAAGAAAAUCGUAGUCUAAUUUUCAUGAUAUAACUAUUGUAUGCUAGACUGCUAGCAUUCCCAAGUCCUAAUGUAAUAAUCAUUAGUAUUAUUUUUAAGAGUAGCUAGCUUAGGGGUGGACUAAAGAAUACUCAGAGAAUUUUUUCAUUGGCCAACUCAUCUCUUUGUAUCAUGAUCUAAGAUCCUGAACAUCUUAGGUGUAAAAUCUUUAGUUUGUACCAAAGAAAAAAAAUAUGUAAUAUACACAAGUAUUGUUAUAA